AUUUGAUUUUUUAUGCUCUGUUCAGAAAUUAUUGAAUGAUUAUUGAAUGUUUUAUGUUUUUGUUGAAUGAUUAUUUGAUUCUUGAUUAGCACCAGAUACUCUGCUGUGUUUGUGUACUAUUUUUGAAUGAAAAUUUAUGUACUAUGUUUGUGAUUUUUUUGGGUAAUUCAACAGGUUAGAAAUAAACUUGCUGUUUAAUAAUAUUUCUUCCAUUGUAAAUCUAGGUAGUUUCAAUAGGAAGCAGAUAUAAAAAGCAGACCUUUCAAGUCUGUGCGAGUCGCUGUCCAUGUCCUGGAAUCAAAAAUAAAAAAUCAAAGAAAUAGAAAAGAAGCAGGUAGAUCAUAUUUUCAACUAAAAUUACUACCAGGAUUAUUUCCAUUUGAAAGAAGUUACUUACUUCACAUCAAGCAUGGCUUCAGGCCAUUGGUUUAAGACAAUCAUUCGAUUAAGAAAAUCAAAACAAAGCAGAUCAAAGAAAUCAAAGGUACAACACACUUUCUUUGUGUCAAAUUUACCUUCAUUAAUAACUCAUCCUAGUUCAGGAUUUCAUUGCAUGAGAGUCAAAAUGAUUAUGUAAAACUAUGUAGUACCACUAUGUAGAGAGAUUUGAAGUUCAUGUAUGUCUUACUACCAAGAAGGCCGAUACAAAUGUAGUACCACUAUGUAGUAUCACUUUGUUUAUUUAUAUUUUAUUUAUUAUUUUAUUAUAAAACGGUUUUUACGGUUCAA
This is a non-coding RNA of Arachis ipaensis, 729 nucleotides long. NCBI's taxonomy places the organism in Eukaryota, Viridiplantae, Streptophyta, Magnoliopsida, Fabales, Fabaceae. The record is from RefSeq and is a predicted model, not a curated record.